CAUUAAGAAGCUUUAACGUAAGCUGGAGUCUCUUAAACUUUAGAUGGUAAAUUAAUCGCCUACCCUUAAUGA
Molecule: transfer RNA, 72 nt
Filed under: Rhynchium quinquecinctum
Lineage: Eukaryota; Metazoa; Arthropoda; Insecta; Hymenoptera; Vespidae
Description: tRNA-Lys
Source: RNAcentral